This 263-nucleotide ribosomal RNA is filed under the name uncultured bacterium. Its description in RNAcentral is "partial 16S ribosomal RNA". It matches the Rfam family "Bacterial small subunit ribosomal RNA", at positions 793 to 1055 of the family's 1533-position model. The record is from RNAcentral.
GUCCUAGCCGUAAACGGUGAUCACUAGGUGUUGGAGGCAUCGACCCCUCCAGUGCCGCAGCUAACGCAAUAAGUGAUCCGCCUGGGGAGUACGGCCGCAAGGUUGAAACUCAAAGGAAUUGACGGGGGCCCGCACAAGCGGUGGAGCAUGUGGUUUAAUUCGACGCAACGCGAAGAACCUUACCCAGACUUGACAUGCAUCGGACGGGUGUGGAAACACACCUUCCCUUCGGGGCCGAUGCACAGGUGCUGCAUGGCUGUCGU